UUCUCGUCUCUCGUUCUCCACUCUCGUGUCGCGAAACGUACAGAUCGGAGAUGCGGCGCCGCGGCGACCGGAGAUGCGAGGGGCGAGAGGUAGAGCGGGGGAGAGGGAGAGCAUCGGGGCGGCAGCGAGCGGCGGCAACGGGCAGCGAGAGGAGGCGAGCGGCGGCCGGCGGCCAGCAAAGGCCAUGAUGGAUCCUGCCGAGCCGAUUUGCACCGCCGCCGUCGCCGUAGGAAUCUGACCGUCGACGACACCUUGCUGGUUUGGAGUUCGUUCUAGGUGGUUUCUUUCUGAACUCCAUCUUCCACAACAAACUGCAAGUGGAACAUUCUGGAUUUCUCUCCUAAAAAUUCAUUUGUUGGAGAGCUCCCACCUCCGUGGGAUCCUAUAUCAACACCCACAUUCAGUAUGAGCUGACGGUACAUGGAUGUUUUUUGAAGAUCACAUGAACAAAAUGAACAGAGUUUCCAAGAGUUUCCAAAAUGAGCAGAGUCUCCUAAAUUAUGCCGAACCGUUGCGCAUUACAUGACUGAAAAUUUGUGUUUUAAUUCCUGAUGCAUGUUGGAUGUUUACUAUACAGACUUGGGUUAAAUUGUUGCCAUAAAAAUUGAAUCUUUUGUAACUUACGCUGAAAUA
This is a long non-coding RNA of Lolium rigidum, 633 nucleotides long. RefSeq lists it as uncharacterized. The record is from RefSeq and is a predicted model, not a curated record. The transcript has 3 exons. Lineage: Eukaryota; Viridiplantae; Streptophyta; Magnoliopsida; Poales; Poaceae.